RNAcentral lists this non-coding RNA (31 nucleotides) under Mus musculus (house mouse). Lineage: Eukaryota; Metazoa; Chordata; Mammalia; Rodentia; Muridae. RNAcentral also lists the same sequence under 1 other name. The record is from RNAcentral.
UAAAUCUAGUGAAUGCACUGUCCACCUGGAU